AACUGCGAAUGGCUCAUUAAAUCAGUUAUCGUCUAUUUGAUAGUACCUUACUACUUGGAUAACCGUGGUAAUUCUAGAGCUAAUACAUGCUGCAAAGCCCGACUUCGGAAGGGGCUGUAUUUAUUAGAUUAAAAAACCAAUGCCCUCCGGGGGCUCACUGGUGAUUCAUGAUAACUUCUCGAAUCGCACGGCCUUGCGCCGGCGAUGGUUCAUUCAAAUUUCUGCCCUAUCAACUUUCGACGGCUGGGUAUUGGCCAGCCGUGGUGACAACGGGUAACGGAGGGUUAGGGCUCGACCCCGGAGAAGGAGCCUGAGAAACGGCUACUACAUCCAAGGAAGGCAGCAGGCGCGCAAAUUACCCAAUCCCGACACGGGGAGGUAGUGACAAUAAAUACUGAUACAGGGCUCUUUUGGGUCUUGUAAUUGGAAUGAGUACAAUUUAAUUCCCUUAACGAGGAACAAUUGGAGGGCAAGUCUGGUGCCAGCAGCCGCGGUAAUUCCAGCUCCAAUAGCGUAUAUUAAAGUUGUUGCAGUUAAAAAGCUCGUAGUUGAACCUUGGGCCUGGCUGGCCGGUCCGCCUCACCGCGUGCACUGGUCCGGCCGGGCCUUUCCCUCUGGGGAGCCGCAUGCCCUUCACUGGGCGUGCCGGGGAACCAGGACGUUUACUUUGAAAAAAUUAGAGUGUUCAAAGCAGGCUUAUGCUCGAAUACAUUAGCAUGGAAUAAUGGAAUAGGACGCGUGGUUCUAUUUUGUUGGUUUCUAGGACCGCCGUAAUGAUUAAUAGGGACAGUCGGGGGCAUCAGUAUUCAGCUGUCAGAGGUGAAAUUCUUGGAUUUGCUGAAGACUAACUACUGCGAAAGCAUUUGCCAAGGAUGUUUUUCAUUAAUCAGGAACGAAAGUUAGGGGAUCGAAGACGAUCAGAUACCGUCGUAGUCUUAAACCAUAAACUAUGCCGACUAGGGAUCGGACGGUGUUAUUCUUUGACCCGUUCGGCACCUUACACG
Molecule: ribosomal RNA, 1004 nt
Filed under: Raffaelea sp.
Lineage: Eukaryota; Fungi; Ascomycota; Sordariomycetes; Ophiostomatales; Ophiostomataceae
Description: SSU rRNA
Rfam family: Eukaryotic small subunit ribosomal RNA
Source: RNAcentral